AGUCGAGCGAACAGACGAGGAGCUUACUCCUUUGACGUUAGCGGCGGACGGGUGAGUAACACGUGGAUAACCUACCUAUAAGACUGGGAUAACUUCGGGAAACCGGAGCUAAUACCGGAUAAUAUAUUGAACCGCAUGGUUCAAUAGUGAAAGACGGUUUUGCUGUCACUUAUAGAUGGAUCCGCGCCGCAUUAGCUAGUUGGUAAGGUAACGGCUUACCAAGGCAACGAUGCGUAGCCGACCUGAGAGGGUGAUCGGCCACACUGGAACUGAGACACAGUCCAGACUCCUACGGGAGGCAGCAGUAGGGAAUCUUCCGCAAUGGGCGAAAGCCUGACGGAGCAACGCCGCGUGAGUGAUGAAGGUCUUCGGAUCGUAAAACUCUGUUAUUAGGGAAGAACAAAUGUGUAAGUAACUAUGCACGUCUUGACGGUACCUAAUCAGAAAGCCACGGCUAACUACGUGCCAGCAGCCGCGGUAAUACGUAGGUGGCAAGCGUUAUCCGGAAUUAUUGGGCGUAAAGCGCGCGUAGGCGGUUUUUUAAGUCUGAUGUGAAAGCCCACGGCUCAACCGUGGAGGGUCAUUGGAAACUGGAAAACUUGAGUGCAGAAGAGGAAAGUGGAAUUCCAUGUGUAGCGGUGAAAUGCGCAGAGAUAUGGAGGAACACCAGUGGCGAAGGCGACUUUCUGGUCUGUAACUGACGCUGAUGUGCGAAAGCGUGGGGA
This 725-nucleotide ribosomal RNA is filed under the name uncultured Staphylococcus sp. Its description in RNAcentral is "bacterial SSU rRNA". It matches the Rfam family "Bacterial small subunit ribosomal RNA", at positions 60 to 767 of the family's 1533-position model. The record is from RNAcentral. Lineage: Bacteria; Bacillati; Bacillota; Bacilli; Caryophanales; Staphylococcaceae.